CCCUUAGAUGUUCUGGGCUGCACGCGCGCUACACUGACGCACGCAACAGGUGCCUGCUCCGAGAGGACUGGGUAAUCAUUUGAGUGUGCGUCGUGAUGGGGAUAGAAUAUUGUAAUUAUUACUCUUCAACGAGGAAUUCCUAGUAAGCGCCAGUCAGCAGCUUGCGCUGAUUACGUCCCUGCCCUUUGUACACACCGCCCGUCGCUCCUACCGAUUGAGUGGUCCGGUGAGGCUUUGGGAUCUGAGCGGAAAGAGCGUUUCGCUGUUUCUGCUCGGAAAACUCAGUCGAACCUUAUCAUUUAGAGGAAGGAGAAGUCGUAACA
RNAcentral lists this ribosomal RNA (323 nucleotides) under uncultured eukaryote. RNAcentral's name for it is "partial 18S ribosomal RNA". It matches the Rfam family "Eukaryotic small subunit ribosomal RNA", at positions 1470 to 1796 of the family's 1831-position model. The record is from RNAcentral.